This 322-nucleotide unclassified non-coding RNA is filed under the name soil metagenome. RNAcentral describes it as "partial contains 5.8S ribosomal RNA, internal transcribed spacer 2, and large subunit ribosomal RNA". The stretch from base 1 to 120 matches the Rfam family "5.8S ribosomal RNA", at positions 35 to 154 of the family's 154-position model. The record is from RNAcentral.
GAUGAAGAACGUAGCGAAAUGCGAUAAGUAAUGCGAAUUGCAGAAUUCAGUGAGUCAUCGAAUCUUUGAACGCACAUUGCGCCCUGUGGUAUUCCGCAGGGCAUGCCUGUUCGAGCGUCAUUUCAACCCUCAAGCUCUGCUUGGUGUUGGGCCCUGCUCGCUGCGGCCGGCCCUAAAGACAGUGGCGGUGCCGCCUGGCCCUGAGCGUAGUACAUCUCUCGCUCCAGUGCCCGGUGGUAGCCUGCCAGAACCCCAACUCUCGUGGUUGACCUCGGAUCAGGUAGGGAUACCCGCUGAACUUAAGCAUAUCAUAAGCGGAGGA